CCCUUAGAUGUUCUGGGCUGCACGCGUGCUACACUGAUAUUGCCAAUAUGUCAUUCUUAUCCGAAAUGGAUUGGGUAAUCAAGUAAUGAAAUUUCAUGCUUGGAAUCGGUAAUUGCAAUUUUAUCGUGAACGAGGAAUUCCUAGUAAGCACUAGUCAUCAGCUAAUGUUGAUUAUGUCUCUGCCCUUUGUACACACCGCCCGUCGCUACUACUGAUUGGGUGUUCAAGUGAGAUGCUUAGACCCUUGUUGCAUGGUUCAUUAUUGUGCUCCGAAAGGAAAAAGUUUCAAGCUUGAGUGUCUAGAGGAAGUAAAAGUCGUAACA
RNAcentral lists this ribosomal RNA (323 nucleotides) under uncultured eukaryote. Its description in RNAcentral is "partial 18S ribosomal RNA". It matches the Rfam family "Eukaryotic small subunit ribosomal RNA", at positions 1470 to 1796 of the family's 1831-position model. The record is from RNAcentral.